AUGGCUCAGCCGUGCUCCCGGUUUCAGCACUGCCUCACCUCGAGCUGCUCUCACCAUGCUCCUCCAGGGGCCCGGCCAUGGCUCCUCCCGCCGCACUCCACCAGGGUCCCACACCUGCUUGUCUCGCCACACUCAUUAGGCCUGGCAUUGGCUCCUCUCACCACGAUCACUAGAGCUGGCGCUGGCUCCUCUCGCCACGCUCACUUGUGCUGGCUCCUCCUGCCACGCUCCUCCAGGGCCCGGCGCUGGUUCCUCCUGCCACGCUCCUCCAGGGCCCAGCGCUGGCUCAUCUUGCCACGCUCCUCCAGGGUCCGACGCUGGCUCCUCCUGCCACGCUCCUUCAGGGCCCGGCGCUGGCUCCUCCUGCCACACUCCUCCAGGGCCCCGCGCUGGCUCCUCUCGCCACGCUCCUCCAGGGCCCGGCGCUGGCUCCUCUCACCACGCUCCUCCAGGGCCCCGCGCUGGCUCCUCUCGCCACGCUCCUCCAGGGCCCCGUGCUGGCUCCUCUCACCACGCUCCACCAGGGUCCCGCAUUGGCUCCUCUCGCCACACUCUUCCAGGGGCCCGGCACUGGCUCCUCUCACCACGCUCCUCCAGGGCCCGGCGCUGGCUCCUCUCACCACGCUCCUCCAGGGCCCCGCGCUGGCUCCUCUCACCACACUCCUCCAGGGCCCCGCGCUGGCUCCUCUCGCCACGCUCCUCCAGGGCCCGGCGCUAGUUCCUCCUGCCACGCCCCUCCAGGGCCCCGCGCUGGUUCCUCCUGCCACGCUCCUCCAGGGCCCCGCGCUGGCUCCUCUCCCCACGCUCCUCCAGGGCCCGGCGCUGGCUCCUCCUGCCACGCUCCUCCAGGGUCCGGCGCUGGCUCCUCCUGCCACGCUCCUCCAGGGCCCCGCGCUGGCUCCUCUCGCCACGCUCCUCCAGGGCCCGGCGCUGGCUCCUCUCACCACGCUCAUUAGGGCCCAGUGGGGGCUCCUCUCGCCACGCUCCACCAGGGUCCCGCAUUGGCUCCUCUCGCCACGCUCUUCCAGGGGCCCGGCACUGGCUCCUCCUGCCACGCUCCUCCAGGGCCCCGCGCUGGCUCCUCUCCCCACGCUCCUCCAGGGCCCGGCGCUGGCUCCUCUCCCCACGCUCCUCCAGGGCCCCGCGCUGGCUCCUCUCGCCACGCUCACUAGGGCCGGCUGUUUCACUCUCCUCUCCUCAGACUCCUGUUUGUGUAUUCCAAUCUGCAUUAUAAAGUCUCCCCAUUGGACACGCCUCCUUUGCACAUCUGUGCUUAAUCAGGCAGCAAUGAGGUGGCGUUCAGGGGUCCCCCAGAAUAUCAAACUCUGA
RNAcentral lists this long non-coding RNA (1329 nucleotides) under Oryzias javanicus (javanese ricefish). RNAcentral's name for it is "lncRNA (ENSOJAG00000001562.1)". Lineage: Eukaryota; Metazoa; Chordata; Actinopteri; Beloniformes; Adrianichthyidae. The record is from RNAcentral.